CUUGACGACCAUAGAGCAUUGGAACCACCUGAUCCCAUCCCGAACUCAGCAGUGAAACGAUGCAUCGCCGAUGGUAGUGUGGGGCUUCCCCAUGUGAGAGUAGGUCAUCGUCAAGA
Ribosomal RNA from Pseudomonas agarici, 116 nucleotides. The record is from Rfam. NCBI's taxonomy places the organism in Bacteria, Pseudomonadati, Pseudomonadota, Gammaproteobacteria, Pseudomonadales, Pseudomonadaceae.